Molecule: ribosomal RNA, 275 nt
Filed under: uncultured prokaryote
Description: partial 16S ribosomal RNA
Rfam family: Bacterial small subunit ribosomal RNA
Source: RNAcentral
UACGUAGGGGGCUAGCGUUAUCCGGAAUUACUGGGCGUAAAGGGCGCGUAGGCGGGUGUUUAAGUCAGAUGUGAAAACUAUGGGCUCAACCUGUAGAUUGCAUUUGAAACUGGGCAUCUUGAGGGCAGGAGAGGAAAGUGGAAUUCCUAGUGUAGCGGUGAAAUGCGUAGAUAUUAGGAGGAACACCAGUGGCGAAGGCGACUUUCUGGACUGUACCUAACGCUGAGGCGCGAAAGCGUGGGGAGCGAACAGGAUUAGAUACCCUGGUAGUCCCU